UUGAAAAUAAAGAAUUUUAUUCAACCUUAUCACUUUGCACGAUCAUUACUUUGAAAAACAGAGAGAAAAGAAAACCAAAAACCAUUUCUUGGCUGGUUUGAAGAAAUUCUAAGGAGAUCCAAGUGAAAAAAAAGUCAAAGAAGUGGAUUAAGCUUAGUUCUAGCCUUUUUAUGAUAUUUCUUGGUGGUUUCCAAGUGGUUUGAGGUUUAGAAAAGCUUGAAGAGAUUGUUUUCGCCGAAAAGUUGCUCGGUAAGUGAAAUUUUGUGUUUUAUGAGGUUUUUGGGGUUCUUGGAGUACAAGAUGAUUUUUGGUUAUUUUAUUGAGUUUAUAAGAGAGUAUAUAUGUUUAUAAAUGUUUGAAUAGAUGUGGAGACUCAUUUAAUUAGGGUGAUGAUCUAGAAGAUAAGAAUUUUAUCAAAAUCGAUAUAUGAUAACUUUAUGAUGAAUCAUGUUGGUAUUUGAGAUAUAUGGUUAUGGCAGGUUAUUUGAUGUUGAUUAUUGGUUGAUUUUGAUAUUUGAGGAUAGUUAAAAUUAAGGGGAAACUCUGUCAAAAUUUCUCCAAAUGUCUAAGAUAAAUCUAAUGCUCGAUCUAGGUGGUUUAAGGCAUUUUAGGCAUGAUUUGGAUAUGAAAGUUGAUAUGAUGUUUUAUGAGUAUUUUUAAAUGAUAGUUCAAUGUCUUACUGCCUUCAUUGUGAUGAGAAAUCCAUAUCAUUGUCGGGAUAAGCAUAUCAACACCUAAGACAUCACUUGUUACACGGUGAAAUAUAUUUUGGACAAAAGGUAGAGAAAGAAAUGUGUGAAUGACAUGAGGAGAACUGAAGCAUGGUCUUGACCCUGAUUUGUACAUAUGAACAUAUCGACCUUUGUGGGUUAUUUCAGUUUAUCAAUGUGAUAUUUGUAAUAAAGUGUGAAGUUAUGUUUUGAAAACAAAUUGGGUUAUUUAAUAUUUAUGUAUAAUAUGUUUGAGACACACUUUAUGUUUAAUAUAAAUAAUGUGAAAUAAAUUUUCAAGUUUAAAAAAAAAAAUGUCCAGACUUCCGCAGUAAGAAUUUAUGAUAUAGUUUUAAAACGUAACACCUCAGAUAUGGUUUUAACUAAAAUAAGUGAGGGUGUUACAGGUUCUUGGUCAUCGAGCCAUUCUUUGAUGGAUUUGGAAGAUCUUUGUGCUAGAUUGAGUCUUGAAGAAGAAGAACAGGGAAGCCUUUCUUAUGAUAGUGCAGAGGAGGUGCGGUCUAAAAUUGAUGCUAGAUGGUGCUUAGUGAGAAGAUUCUUCAGCCCAGAAAAGCCCAGCUGCUCCCUUCCUCUCAGCCCAGCCCUUCGGCCCACGACGCAAGCCAGAAGCCCUCAACCGCAUGCACCCUUAUUGGGCCCGUUUUUGUCAUGUCCAUGACCCAGUGGCCUAACAGCAACUGCCAAACCCAACAAGCUCAAAUAAGAGCAAUUUUUCUUGAGCCCAACAAUGUUCCAUUGUCCCACAAUGUCCAAAAAUAUCAUUUUUUUACCCAACUUUUCUACAUAUUUUACUACAAAAUCAAUCAUUUACCCCAAAAAUCACCUUCACAUCUUUUUACACUAAUUAUACCGUAUUAUUCUUUAUUUAAAAAUUAAUUUAAUUAAUAUAAAUUGAUUAUUUUAAACACUUUAUUUUUGGUAUAAAUAGGUAGUUUUAAGAUCAUUCUGGGGGUGCUUAAUUUUUGGGUUACCAUCAUCUUUUCUACAUUUUCUCUCUUCCUUUUGAAAGACCAUUUUGUGCCAAGUAUGUAUUUCUUAUGCAAUAUAUUUUGGAUUCUAGUUAUGUGCUUCUAAUCUUUUUCAUAAGAUUAUUAAGAUCAAAAUGAAACAACU
Molecule: long non-coding RNA, 1844 nt
Organism: Humulus lupulus (European hop)
Lineage: Eukaryota; Viridiplantae; Streptophyta; Magnoliopsida; Rosales; Cannabaceae
Exons: 3
Source: RefSeq, a predicted model, not a curated record